RNAcentral lists this ribosomal RNA (468 nucleotides) under uncultured bacterium. RNAcentral's name for it is "partial 16S ribosomal RNA". It matches the Rfam family "Bacterial small subunit ribosomal RNA", at positions 28 to 507 of the family's 1533-position model. The record is from RNAcentral.
GACGAACGCUGGCGGCGUGCUUAACACAUGCAAGUCGAACGGAAAGGCCCUGCUUUUGUGGGGUGCUCGAGUGGCGAACGGGUGAGUAACACGUGAGUAACCUGCCCUUGACUUUGGGAUAACUUCAGGAAACUGGGGCUCAUACCGGAUAGGAGCUCCUGCUGCAUGGUGGGGGUUGGAAAGUUUCGGCGGUUGGGGAUGGACUCGCGGCUUAUCAGCUUGUUGGUUGGGUAGUGGCUUACCAAGGCUUUGACGGGUAGCCGGGCUGAGAGGGUGACCGGACACAUUGGGACUGAGAUACGGCCCAGACUCCUACGGGAGGCAGCAGUGGGGAAGAUUGCACAAUGGGCGGAAGCCUGAUGCAGCAACGCCGCGUGCGGGAUGACGGCCUGCGGGUUGUAAACCGCUUUCGCCUGUGACGAAGCGUGAGUGACGGUAAUGGGUAAAGAAGCACCGGCUAACUACGUG